GGAUAGCUCAGUUGGUUAGAGCAUGAUGUUGCUAAUGCCAUGGUUACAGGUUCAAUCCUCCUAUGGGACAGCUGCA
Non-coding RNA from Podarcis lilfordi (Lilford's wall lizard), 76 nucleotides. The record is from the annotation of a GenBank genome assembly. Lineage: Eukaryota; Metazoa; Chordata; Lepidosauria; Squamata; Lacertidae.